Molecule: non-coding RNA, 1159 nt
Organism: Phasianus colchicus (ring-necked pheasant)
Lineage: Eukaryota; Metazoa; Chordata; Aves; Galliformes; Phasianidae
Source: RefSeq, a predicted model, not a curated record
UGUGUCUGAAGGAAACAUUGAUUGAAAUCCUCAUGGAUAUCGGCGCAGUCACUCAGAUGAAGAAAAGCAUGAACUGUAAACAAAGGGCUGCAAGAAAUGAAUGUGUAGUGCUGCAGAGGGACGUCCAGGAACGCAUUAUUCAUUGGUAGACUAAUAGAAAGAGUGAGCUGGGAUACCAGGAGACUUCACUGACUGAAAUGCUAAAUGGGGAGAGUCCAAAUGAACCCAGAGGAACAAUACCAAAAAAGGACCUAGAUAGACUAGAAAGAACAAAAUACUGAGAUUUAAUGUGGAAAAAACUGUAAGUAAACCUGUCUGGGGAAAACUAAUCCAAAACACAGAUGUUCCACUGGAGACAGAAAUCUUGAAAGCAGUUGUGUUACAGCAGACCAGGAAUGACAAGGGAACUGAUGGUGAAUCCCCGGCACAGCAGGGCACACUGCCUGCUCUGCAAUGCCCCCACAAGGUGCUGUGUGAGCCGCACAGAUAACACACGGUGCAGGCAGCUGGGAGAGGUGCAGCCCAAUUAUGACUGCUGUGGAGGAAAGAACUUAUUCAGCACUCAGUACGGUGUGAGGUCAGAGAUGAGCCCAUAAAGACUGAAACAGAAGCACUGUGUGCUCAAUAGCAUGGCACGCUUAAAACCAAACAAAGAGCCAGAAACCCAGCAGCAGGCCGCCUGCGUUGCAAAGGUCAGGUGUGCCACAAGGCCGUCCUUCGUCGUUCAUUGUCAAAUUUCCUCUCAGAUAUCUACCUCUGACUGACAGACCGAGCUCCACGCAACGGCAACAGCUGAAAAGGAUCUGACAGUAACUUCCUCAAGAAUGCGUUGUCUUAAGAAGAAGCCAUUAGAUGAAAGUGGAAACCAGAGGAUUACGGAGUCAAAUCAUGAGAAUUCAGGUCAAGUGAGAUUUGAGGGGGAAGGAGAAUCUGACAGCAGCACCAGGGGGAAGACUAAACGUGUCAGUCUAAGACUCUUACUGGAAGUGCUGGAGAACUAAGCAGUCAAAAAGGAAACCUAGAAUGGCAUCCAUAAAUGGCAAUCUCCAAAGAGUCAGCCUUGAGCCUGCCACAAUCACUUCCUUUGUUGGACAGAAAUGACCACAUCCUGGGCCUCAGAAUUAGCUACAGACUUAAAUGUUCAGAAACUAAAAAAUGC